AGGGCGGAUAGUCGGAAGGAGUAGACGCGAAACCAAGUGAUCUACCCUUGGGCAGGUUGAAGGUUAGGUAACACUAACUGGAGGACCGAACCGAUAAGCGUUGAAAAGCUUCCGGAUGACCUGAGGGUGGGGGUGAAAGGCUAAUCAAACUUGGAGAUAGCUCGUACUCCCCGAAAUGCAUUUAGGUGCAGCCUUGAGAGUUACUAAUGUGAGGUAGAGCGACUGAUAAGAUGCGAGGGCUUCACCGCCUAUCAAGUCUUGAUAAACUCCGAAUGCGCAUUAGUUCUAUCUCAGGAGUGAGGGCAUGGGUGCUAAGGUCCAUGUCCUAAAGGAGAAGAAUCCAGACCAUCAGCUAAGGUCCCCAAAUAAACACUAAGUUGAACUAACGAAGUCAGAUUGCUAAGACAGCUAGGAUGUUGGCUUGGAAGCAGCCAUUCAUUUAAAGAGUGCGUAACAGCUCACUAGUCGAGGAGUUUGGCGUGGAUAAUAAUCGGGCAU
Molecule: ribosomal RNA, 498 nt
Filed under: Bacteroides fragilis
Lineage: Bacteria; Pseudomonadati; Bacteroidota; Bacteroidia; Bacteroidales; Bacteroidaceae
Description: partial 23S ribosomal RNA
Rfam family: Bacterial large subunit ribosomal RNA
Source: RNAcentral